This 82-nucleotide ribosomal RNA is filed under the name Ailuropoda melanoleuca (giant panda). Lineage: Eukaryota; Metazoa; Chordata; Mammalia; Carnivora; Ursidae. The record is from RNAcentral.
UCUGAGCUCAGAAGCUAGCAAGGUCAGGUCUGGUUAGUACUUGGAUGGGAGACAGCCUGGGAAUACUGGCUGCUGUAGGCUU